RNAcentral lists this unclassified non-coding RNA (1307 nucleotides) under Hevea brasiliensis (rubber tree). The record is from RNAcentral. Lineage: Eukaryota; Viridiplantae; Streptophyta; Magnoliopsida; Malpighiales; Euphorbiaceae.
AGAAACCCGAAAACAAGUUUAUCCUGCAACACUUACACAGGCAGGCCAUGUUGCAUAAAAAUCCUGGCAUCCCUUUCCCUUCCCACCAAAGACACUCUAAUACUAUAUCAUUACAUAUGUAACAGCAUCAAUCUUUCUGCCCCCUCCCCCUAGCCAAAACCCCUAAAUUGACAUUUUGACGAAUCUUCUACGCUGUUCAAGGAAAACCCAAUGAUCCUUGGUCUCCUCACAUACAAGGAAGGCCUCCUCUAACAAGCUUAUACUAAAAAGUAACCAACUUGCAAAUAAUUCUUUUGUGCUCUCACAUCCUCAGACUUCCAACAUUGAAAUCUUGAGGCUUCAACCUAUCCAAAAAUCUAAGUCUUCAACACUGAUUCACAUGGAACCCAUAUUACAACUUCUGCACCAAAAUUUGGAAAAGAGUGACGAUACAAUCACAUAGUCUCAAAUUUAAGACCCAACUAACCUAUUUAGAAACUAAUCAAAUGGGUCAAAUAUCAGGAUCAAAUAUUUAAGAAAAGUAACACUAGGUUAGAGAAAACAUGCCCCCCACCCCCCCAAAUGCAAUAGGAAAAAAAGGAUCUUAUAUGGCCACGAAGAACCUAAUCAAUGCAUAAAGGAAAUCAACAGACCAAAUUUGAAGAAAACAGCAAUAAUCCACAUAGAACAUACCAUGAUAAAGUAUAGCACAAUCUAUUUAAUUAACAAAACUGCAAACAUGCUAUAAAGUAUUUUGCAAAUAUUCAACAAACAAUAUAGAUGAAAUCCUAAAGAAAUACCAAUCAAGGAAAUCAAUUAUGCUUACCUGCAGAAAUGGUCGACGGAGGAGGAGUUCAGCAAAUAUACAGGCUGCAGCCCAAACAUCAACCCCAGAACCAUAUUGUUUGGUGCCAAAAAGCAGCUCAGGCGCUCUAUACCAUCGAGCAAAGACUUGGUGAGUGAACUUGCGAUCUGGGCUUCCAAAUAUGCGUGCCAAACCAAAAUCUGCAAGUUUAAGCUGUCCAUUAGAUGCUAUCAACAAGUUGUUUGGCUUCAUAUCUCUAUGCAAAACCCAUUUCCUAUGGCAAUAAGCCAGUCCUUUCAAUGUCAUCUGAAAGUAUGAUUUUAUGUCAGCCGGUGAAAGAAAUAUAUUUCGAUCACGAAUAACUGCUUCAAGAUCAGUCUCCAUGAACUCGAACACAAGAUGCAAGUUCCCUUUGUGAGGGAAUGCAUCAAUCAACUCAAUUAUAUUUGGGUCUUUAAGCUCUUUAAGCAGUUUGAUCUCUCUAAGUGCUGUAAAAUUAACCCCCUCCUUUUGCUUCCCAAGC